This 874-nucleotide ribosomal RNA is filed under the name uncultured bacterium. RNAcentral describes it as "bacterial SSU rRNA". It matches the Rfam family "Bacterial small subunit ribosomal RNA", at positions 574 to 1453 of the family's 1533-position model. The record is from RNAcentral.
GGCGGUUNGGAAAGAAAGAUGUGAAAUCCCAGAGCUUAACUUUGGAACUGCAUUUUUAACUACCGGGCUAGAGUGUGUCAGAGGGAGGUGGAAUUCCGCGUGUAGCAGUGAAAUGCGUAGAUAUGCGGAGGANCACCGAUGGCGAAGGCAGCCUCCUGGGAUAACACUGACGCUCAUGCACGAAAGCGUGGGGAGCAGACAGGAUUAGAUACCCUGGUAGUCCACGCCCUAAACGAUGUCAACUAGCUGUUGGGGCCUUCGGGCCUUGGUAGCGCAGCUAACGCGUGAAGUUGACCGCCUGGGGAGUACGGUCGCAAGAUUAAAACUCAAAGGAAUUGACGGGGACCCGCACAAGCGGUGGAUGAUGUGGAUUAAUUCGAUGCAACGCGAAAAACCUUACCUACCCUUGACAUGUCUGGAAUGCCGAAGAGAUUUGGCAGUGCUCGCAAGAGAACCGGAACACAGGUGCUGCAUGGCUGUCGUCAGCUCGUGUCGUGAGAUGUUGGGUUAAGUCCCGCAACGAGCGCAACCCUUGUCAUUAGUUGCUACGAAAGGGCACUCUAAUGAGACUGCCGGUGACAAACUGGAGGAAGGUGGGGAUGACGUCAAGUCCUCAUGGCCCUUAUGGGUAGGGCUUCACACGUCAUACAAUGGUCGGGACAGAGGGUCGCCAACCCGCGAGGGGGAGCCAAUCCCAGAAACCCGAUCGUAGUCCGGAUCGCAGUCUGCAACUCGACUGAGUGAAGUCGGAAUCGCUAGUAAUCGCGGAUCAGCAUGUCGCGGUGAAUACGUUCCCGGGUCUUGUACACACCGCCCGUCACACCAUGGGAGUGGGUUUUACCAGAAGUAGUUAGCCUAACCGCAAGGGGGGNGA